GAUGAACGCUGGCGGCGUGCUUAACACAUGCCAGUCGAACGGAAAGGCCCAAGCUUGCUUGGGUACUCGAGUGGCGAACGGGUGAGUAACACGUGGGUGAUCUGCCCUGCACUUCGGGAUAAGCCUGGGAAACUGGGUCUAAUACCGGAUAGGACCACAUUUUGGAUGGUGUGGUGGAAAGUUUUUCGGUGUGGGAUGAGCUCGCGGCCUAUCAGCUUGUUGGUGGGGUAAUGGCCUACCAAGGCGUCGACGGGUAGCCGGCCUGAGAGGGUGUACGGCCACAUUGGGACUGAGAUACGGCCCAGACUCCUACGGGAGGCAGCAGUGGGGAAUAUUGCACAAUGGGCGCAAGCCUGAUGCAGCGACGCCGCGUGGGGGAUGACGGCCUUCGGGUUGUAAACUCCUUUCGCUGGGGACGAAGCGUUAUGUGACGGUACCUGGAGAAGAAGCACCGGCUAACUACGUG
Molecule: ribosomal RNA, 466 nt
Filed under: uncultured bacterium
Lineage: Bacteria
Description: partial 16S ribosomal RNA
Rfam family: Bacterial small subunit ribosomal RNA
Source: RNAcentral